GUGUAUUUUGCGUGCAUCAGCAUCCGCUCAGUCAGUCUCACGCUGUCGGAACACAUGUUGGGACAAAUAGCUGCCGUGGUACGUCGUACCGGCGUUCAAUAAUGAUCCUUCCGCAGGUUCACCUACGGAAA
This 131-nucleotide unclassified non-coding RNA is filed under the name uncultured fungus. RNAcentral's name for it is "sequence contains ITS1". Lineage: Eukaryota; Fungi. The record is from RNAcentral.